UAGCAAGAAUGCUGAGCUGCUGAAGUCA
This 28-nucleotide non-coding RNA is filed under the name Mus musculus (house mouse). The record is from RNAcentral. Lineage: Eukaryota; Metazoa; Chordata; Mammalia; Rodentia; Muridae.